Molecule: unclassified non-coding RNA, 407 nt
Filed under: soil metagenome
Description: partial internal transcribed spacer 1
Source: RNAcentral
CAAAAUUGGUUUCUUACCAAAACACUGUGUGCACCAUAACUGUCCUUGGCAGCGUAUCUUCCACGUCACAAGUCCCGGGUAUUGUGAAUGUUUCCGAGGGGUCGGGGGCGGGAGCCCCGGGUCACGAGGGGGUCUAGGGCGGCCGUAUCUAAGAAAUUAGUACAAAAGCCCCAUGAUCAAAGGGGUCCCGGCUGUAUCCAAGAAAUUAGUACAAGUCGAGGAUCACACGUCACAACUACUCGGUACUGAGAGUUUUUCAAGGGUUCUGGGUAUCAGUAUGUAAGAGUACGAGCCCAGAUCACAUGUCACAACUACUCGGUAUUGACCUGCCGAUCGCUGCCGCAUGUCCAAACUUUGUAUUACAAAAUUAUAGUCUGAAUCAGUUCACCACAAAGUGAAAUGAAAAA